CGGCACGGCCUGUAGCGGAGAGACCCCAUUCCUACCCCGUCCACCCGGAGGUGGGACAAGGCGGCUGCGCCCCUCCCGGCCGAAUGAAGCUCCAUUCCCCCGGAGGCGGGGUCUGUGCAGCCUUGCCGGCUCAGCUCGAGGCGUGAAGGGCCUGAGGCUGGUCGACCUGCCUUCUCCUGGGCUUGAGGGCGGAAGCCGUCCGUGGACUUCUGGGCCCCGCGGCGGGGGGCGGGGGUCUGGAGGCCGCGUUGCCUGAACUCGGGCUUAACACCCGGAAUCCUGCGUCCCCCCAGGCUCCACCUCCAUUUGGGACACCCGACUGUGUGAGUCGGAAAAGGCCCUUCACCGUCUCUGGACCUAGGUCGUCUCAUCAGUAAGAUAGGGUUAAAGGGAGACCUCAAGGGAGAACGCAGCGCACCACGGUGAAUGCGUCUAACGUAGGCUCCGACUGAACUCUGCCUGUUUAAGGAUGAGUUCUAGAAAUCCUUCUCAGCGACGCUUUCCCUGAAUCCACAGUGGAGCUUUUCAUUUCCCUGCAGCUAACUCGGCCGCACUUAUCCCCCAUUUUCUCUCUUUCUACCUUUUAUUUCUUCCUUUCCCUUUCUACCUCACGGGUCUCUAGAUGAGGUGCUGUGAAUAGGACUUAAGUUGAAUAUUUGAUCUCCCACUCCCCAGCACAGCCUACCCAGCAGUGAUUCUCAGCCCGGCCUGCGCAAUCGGAUCGCCUUGGAGCACCUAAAAAAAUACUGGUGCUUGGGCCCUACCCCAAACCAAUUCAACCAAAAUCUACAGUGGACCUGUGUGUCGUUCACCAAGAUGAUGUUGGUACAACUAGUGAGAUGCAGCACACCACCCUUUGCCUCUGGAAGAGAAACCAGACUGCAAAGGGGACUGAGUACAGAAGCUAACGGAACUCAGAAGGACAAGACAAAAAAGCAUAAAUGCACCCGACUGGACAGUGCUUGGGGUCCGCUCUGCAGACCCCACGUCUUCAAAAUUUCCAGUUUUCUUUUUCACCGUUGAGAAAAUCCCAGAGGCUCUUGACAACAUGGAAUCCUUCUGUGAAAAUCCCACUGCCCUUCUAUCAGUCUUCAUUGACCGUAUCAAAAAACUUCAACUCAAAUAUGUGAAAAGCAGUCACUGUUUCCCUUUGGCCACAGGAAAGCUUGAGAGUGAAGACUGUCAUGUCUGCAAAGUGCUGGCAACACAUUCUGAUCAAUUUUCCAUGAUGCACUUGGUGCCUUAUACACACACAGUAAAUGACCAAGAAAUGUUUCAUUAAUUGAAUCAGAAAUUAAAUAGAAGUAUUCUAUAAAGUGCUUACAUUGAACCUGUCUUUCCAUCCAGCCUCAUUUCUUGCUAAGUCUCCCUUGAGCCUUUUGCUCAUUACAAGUAAUUACAUGCAGUUUCUUAAGAUCCCCAUGCUGUUUCAUGCUUCUGUGUCUUAGCUCAGUGUGUCCUCUGCCUGAAGCAGCCUGGACACCCCUACUUAAUUUCUAAGACUUAGCUUAGGGCCACUUUUCCUACAAUGCCUUUCUUGACCCCAUUCUUACACCUUUGUAAACUAAUAGUACCCCAAAAAAUAUCUAUUCCUUUUUUUUUUGUUUCCACAUGUCUUCCUCUAAUUGCUACUGUGAGUUCUGUCAGGACAGAAAGCAUUUGACUGACCUGUACAUCUGCAGUACCUGGCACUUACUUGGUACCUAGCAAAUGGUUUCAGUGGAUGAAUAUACAUAUUGCAAUCACACAGAACUGGAGGGAUGAAAAGUACUUAUUGCUAUACAUUUAAAUACGAUCUCAUUCUGAGGUUACAGUUUACCUCAAUCUGUUUUAUAUGUAAUCAUGCUAUCAAGAGUAAAUAAAUAAAAUUUUAGUUUUCCCCA
This is a long non-coding RNA of Balaenoptera ricei (Rice's whale), 1883 nucleotides long. RefSeq lists it as uncharacterized. NCBI's taxonomy places the organism in Eukaryota, Metazoa, Chordata, Mammalia, Artiodactyla, Balaenopteridae. The transcript has 3 exons. The record is from RefSeq and is a predicted model, not a curated record.